This 140-nucleotide small nucleolar RNA is filed under the name Tupaia belangeri (northern tree shrew). RNAcentral's name for it is "Small nucleolar RNA U109 (ENSTBEG00000020541.1)". Lineage: Eukaryota; Metazoa; Chordata; Mammalia; Scandentia; Tupaiidae. The record is from RNAcentral.
CCUUUGGGGGGUGCUUUGUCCCUCUCCACUUUCUCACUCUGGCAAGAGCACACACUCUCUAGCAAAAAAAAAAAAAAAAAAAAACUCAGAGCUGCAAUCUUACAGUAAAGGUUGAGUCAUAGUACAUUUCUCUUACAUUA